RNAcentral lists this small nuclear RNA (107 nucleotides) under Mustela putorius furo (domestic ferret). Lineage: Eukaryota; Metazoa; Chordata; Mammalia; Carnivora; Mustelidae. The record is from RNAcentral.
GUGCUCGCUUUGGCAGCACAUAUACUAAAAUUGGAAUAACACAGAGAAGAUUAGCACAGCCCCUGCACAAAGAUGAUAUGCAAAUUCAUGAAGCAUUCCAUAUUUUA